Molecule: long non-coding RNA, 500 nt
Organism: Vigna unguiculata (cowpea)
Lineage: Eukaryota; Viridiplantae; Streptophyta; Magnoliopsida; Fabales; Fabaceae
Source: RefSeq, a predicted model, not a curated record
CUGUAGGACCCCAAUACUCUGUCAGCCCCCUCACAAUCUCACUUUACUCUUUUCUUCAGAAAAAUAGUUCCUCUCCUGUCUCUCUCUACGAAAGCAAAAGCUCUGCUAGAGCAUAGAGAACUUCCACCCUCGAGCUAGCUCAACUGUUUUCCUCUGCUCACCAUCCUAGUUCGUGGAGCUGUUGUGCCUAAGUUGCGCUCUUUCAGUUGCUGCUCCUUUUCUUGCAUCUGAAAAGAUGGGGGAAAUCCUGGAAAUAGGCCUGGUGGUAGCAGUGGUGCAGCUUAGUAAAUAGUAUAUGUGACUCUUAGGAACAGUUCUUUGGCCUAGUGCCCUUUUGUAAUUCCAUGCUCUUGAGGGGCAUUGCUGCUUUUUUGUAAUACUGAUAAAACUCCUUUAGGUUAUGCUUUGUUAGAGGCAAUUGUUAAUGUGCUUCACCAUCUUUUAAGUACUUCCUGGAUGACUGUAAUAGUGGAUUUCCUUAUGUUCCCUGUUCAUCUAAU